UACGUAGGGGGCCAGCGUUAUCCGGAUUCACUGGGUUUAAAGGGUGCGUAGGUGGGUAGGUAAGUCAGUGGUGAAAUCUUCGAGCUUAACUCGGAAACUGCCAUUGAUACUAUCUGUCUUGAAUACCGUGGAGGUGAGCGGAAUAUGUCAUGUAGCGGUGAAAUGCUUAGAUAUGACAUAGAACACCAAUUGCGAAGGCAGCUCACUACACGAAUAUUGACACUGAGGCACGAAAGCGUGGGGAUCAAACAGG
Molecule: ribosomal RNA, 253 nt
Filed under: uncultured bacterium
Lineage: Bacteria
Description: partial 16S ribosomal RNA
Rfam family: Bacterial small subunit ribosomal RNA
Source: RNAcentral